RNAcentral lists this ribosomal RNA (112 nucleotides) under Acanthosepion pharaonis. The record is from RNAcentral. Lineage: Eukaryota; Metazoa; Mollusca; Cephalopoda; Sepiida; Sepiidae.
ACGGUUAAAUCACGCUGAAACACCGGUUCUCGUUCGAUCACCGAAGUUAAGCAUCGUAGAGCCAGGUCAGUACUUAGAUUGGGGACCGCUUGGGAACACCUGGUACUGUAAA